RNAcentral lists this ribosomal RNA (254 nucleotides) under uncultured bacterium. Its description in RNAcentral is "partial 16S ribosomal RNA". It matches the Rfam family "Bacterial small subunit ribosomal RNA", at positions 524 to 776 of the family's 1533-position model. The record is from RNAcentral.
GACGAACCGUGCGAACGUUAUUCGGAAUCACUGGGCUUAAAGAGCUCGUAGGCGGUGUGUCGCGUCGGCCGUGAAAACCUGCAGCUUAACUGUGGGCUUGCGGUCGAUACGGGCAUCACUGGAGUUCGGCAGGGGAGACUGGAAUUCCUGGUGUAGCGGUGAAAUGCGCAGAUAUCAGGAGGAACACCGGUGGCGAAGGCGGGUCUCUGGGCCGAUACUGACGCUGAGGAGCGAAAGCGUGGGGAGCGAACAGG